RNAcentral lists this unclassified non-coding RNA (570 nucleotides) under Hevea brasiliensis (rubber tree). The record is from RNAcentral. Lineage: Eukaryota; Viridiplantae; Streptophyta; Magnoliopsida; Malpighiales; Euphorbiaceae.
GGAACUUCUGGAAAACCAGAUAGUGGGGGAUCCACUUCAUCCUUUUCAGAUAGCUGUGAGUCUGAGCGCACAUUCUAGUUAUGCCCAUCCUCUCAUUGUAACUUUUCAGGUCGUCGCUCCUUUUUGUCCAAAGCUAUCCACUCUUUAUUCUUUCCCACCCAGGCUGCAAGAGAAGCUUCUGAAAACCCAGUUACUGGGCUUUUAGAGUUUGAUGCUGCUGCCCUUCAUAGAGAUGCCCACUGUCAGAGCAGUGCUAGCUGUAGCGUAGAUUUUUCAGAUAUUUCUAAACCAUUUGAAUCUGAAAUUUUAGGUCGGUUGUGUAUUUCAUAUGAUACUUUUAAAUGUGGAUUGUGUGAAAGGUUUCUUUCACAAAGAUCCCUAUGGAGUUCUCAGCAGAUUGUAAGAAGCGGAGACAUGCCUGUUACUGGGGUUCAUUCAUGUUGUCAUGUUUUUCAUGCAGAGUGUUUGGGGCAGUGAUAAGUAAAGUAUUGUUCUCAUGAAAAAUUGUGUUUGAGUAUUAGACUAUGGUUGUUUUGAGUAUUUAGACUAAUGGCAAUUUAUAAGAAUUAA